UGUUACCGUGCUCUGCGUUUUCUCCUUCAUCCUCAUCAACCUCUGUGAUCACAGGCCUUCUGCUGUUACCCCUAGGCGGAGCUUGCUCGAUGAACCCAUGGUUCCCCAUGUCCCCAAAAGGCCCUCCCAUCGGCCCAAAAGGGCUAGGUCCAAACAUGUCAUGCUCACCCAUCAUCUGACCCCCAAACGGGCCAGGUCCAAACAUUCCAUGCUCACCCAUCAUCUGACCCCCAAACGGACGGGUAAAGAAUGGAUCAUCAAAUCGAUCCCUCCCCCCAAAGAAGCCAGAAAUCAAGCUCCUGUGGGAACCAAACCCAGCAAAUGGAUCCCUGCCCCUGAAGAC
Molecule: long non-coding RNA, 343 nt
Filed under: Sorghum bicolor (sorghum)
Lineage: Eukaryota; Viridiplantae; Streptophyta; Magnoliopsida; Poales; Poaceae
Description: long non-coding RNA (SBIC_LNC016865)
Source: RNAcentral